This 90-nucleotide small RNA is filed under the name Flavobacterium branchiophilum. RNAcentral describes it as "Flavo-1 RNA". It matches the Rfam family "Flavo-1 RNA", at positions 9 to 76 of the family's 76-position model. The record is from RNAcentral. Lineage: Bacteria; Pseudomonadati; Bacteroidota; Flavobacteriia; Flavobacteriales; Flavobacteriaceae.
AUGCGUUAGGGAUAGUAGCGGCAUCCUUUUUUUAUUUAGGCUUUUUUUGGGCCUAGAUAAAAAAAGAUAUAGCGAAUAGCCCGACCCCUU